This 425-nucleotide ribosomal RNA is filed under the name uncultured bacterium. RNAcentral describes it as "bacterial SSU rRNA". It matches the Rfam family "Bacterial small subunit ribosomal RNA", at positions 356 to 773 of the family's 1533-position model. The record is from RNAcentral.
GGGGAAUAUUGGACAAUGGGGGGAACCCUGAUCCAGCAAUGCCGCGUGUGUGAAGAAGGCCUGAGGGUUGUAAAGCACUUUCAGUGGGGAGGAGGUUUGACAGGUUAAGAGCUAGUUAGAUGGACGUUACCCACAGAAGAAGCACCGGCUAACUCCGUGCCAGCAGCCGCGGUAAUACGGAGGGUGCAAGCGUUAAUCGGAAUUACUGGGCGUAAAGAGUGCGUAGGUGGUUAAUUAAGUUAUCUGUGAAAUCCCUGGGCUCAACCUGGGCAGGUCAGAUGAUACUGAUUGACUCGAGUACGGGAGAGGGUAGUGGAAUUUCCGGUGUAGCGGUGAAAUGCGUAGAGAUCGGAAGGAACACCAGUGGCGAAGGCGGCUACCUGGCCUGAUACUGACACUGAGGCACGAAAGCGUGGGGAGCAAAC